This is a non-coding RNA of Gossypium arboreum, 106 nucleotides long. The record is from Rfam. NCBI's taxonomy places the organism in Eukaryota, Viridiplantae, Streptophyta, Magnoliopsida, Malvales, Malvaceae.
ACGCAUGAUGAGGCCACCUUCUCAAAAGACCCUUAAAUCUCUCCCAUGUAUCAUACAAUGUCUUAAGCUCGAGUUGAGCAAAAGAAAAGAUUUCAUUCCUCAACUU